Molecule: ribosomal RNA, 329 nt
Filed under: uncultured eukaryote
Lineage: Eukaryota
Description: bacterial SSU rRNA
Rfam family: Eukaryotic small subunit ribosomal RNA
Source: RNAcentral
CAAUAGCGUAUAUUAAAGUUGUUGCAGUUAAAAAGCUCGUAGUUGGAUUUCUGGCCGAGUGUCCCUAGGCCAGCAUGACGUUUGGUCCUAGGCGCUCUGCCAUCCUUCUGUCAACCUUCGCCUUCUUCAUUGGGGGCGCUGGGGCUCAGAUAUUUUACCUUGAGAAAAUUAGAGUGUUUCAGGCAGGCUUUCGCCGGAAUACAUUAGCAUGGAAUAAUGGAAAAGGAACUUCAACCUACUUCUUGUUGGUUCUGAGAGGCUGUAGUAAUGAUUAAUAGGAUAGUUGGGGGCGAUUAGUACUUAACUAGUCAGAGGUGAAAUUACUCCGA